CCUACGGGAGGCAGCAGUGAGGAAUAUUGGUCAAUGGACGAGAGUCUGAACCAGCCAAGUAGCGUGAAGGAUGACUGCCCUAUGGGUUGUAAACUUCUUUUAUAUGGGAAUAAAACGUUCCACGUGUGGGAUUUUGUAUGUACCAUAUGAAUAAGGAUCGGCUAACUCCGUGCCAGCAGCCGCGGUAAUACGGAGGAUCCGAGCGUUAUCCGGAUUUAUUGGGUUUAAAGGGAGCGUAGGUGGAUUGUUAAGUUAGUGGUGAAAGUUUGCGGCUCAACCGUAAAAUUGCAGUUGAAACUGGCAGUCUAGAGAACAGUAGAGGUGGGCGGAAUGUGUGGUGGAGCGGUGAAAUGCUUAGAUAUCACGCAGAACACCGAUUGCGAAGGCAGUUCACUGGACUGCAACUGACACUGAGGCACGAAAGUGUGGGUAUCAAACAGGAUUAGAUAUCCGUGUAGUC
This 460-nucleotide ribosomal RNA is filed under the name uncultured bacterium. Its description in RNAcentral is "partial 16S ribosomal RNA". It matches the Rfam family "Bacterial small subunit ribosomal RNA", at positions 338 to 795 of the family's 1533-position model. The record is from RNAcentral.